GACGAACGCUGGCGGCGUGCUUAACACAUGCAAGUCGAACGGAAAGGCCCUGCUUUUGUGGGGUGCUCGAGUGGCGAACGGGUGAGUAACACGUGAGUAACCUGCCCUUGACUUUGGGAUAACUUCAGGAAACUGGGGCUAAUACCGGAUAGGAGCUCCUGCUGCAUGGUGGGGGUUGGAAAGUUUCGGCGGUUGGGGAUGGACUCGCGGCUUAUCAGCUUGUUGGUGGGGUAGUGGCUUACCAAGGCUUUGACGGGUAGCCGGCCUGGGAGGGUGACCGGGCACAUUGGGACUGAGGUACGGCCCAGAGUCCUACGGGGGGCAGCAGGGGGGAAUAUUGCACAAUGGGGCGAAGCCUGAUGCAGCAACGCCGCGUGCGGGAUGACGGCCUUCGGGUUGUAAACCGCUUUCGCCUGUGACGAAGCGUGAGUGACGGUAAUGGGUAAAGAAGCACCGGCUAACUACGUG
RNAcentral lists this ribosomal RNA (468 nucleotides) under uncultured bacterium. RNAcentral's name for it is "partial 16S ribosomal RNA". It matches the Rfam family "Bacterial small subunit ribosomal RNA", at positions 28 to 507 of the family's 1533-position model. The record is from RNAcentral.